This 501-nucleotide ribosomal RNA is filed under the name uncultured bacterium. RNAcentral's name for it is "partial 16S ribosomal RNA". It matches the Rfam family "Bacterial small subunit ribosomal RNA", at positions 29 to 523 of the family's 1533-position model. The record is from RNAcentral.
AUUGAACGCUGGCGGAAUGCUUUACACAUGCAAGUCGAACGGCAGCACGGGUGCUGCACCUGGUGGCGAGUGGCGAACGGGUGAGUAAUACAUCGGAACGUACCCAGUCGUGGGGGAUAACGUAGCGAAAGUUACGCUAAUACCGCAUACGUCCUGAGGGAGAAAGCGGGGGACCGUAGGGCCUCGCGCGAUUGGAGCGGCCGAUGGCGGAUUAGCUAGUUGGUGGGGUAAAGGCCUACCAAGGCGACGAUCCGUAGCGGGUCUGAGAGGACGGCCCGCCACACUGGAACUGAGACACGGUCCAGACUCCUACGGGAGGCAGCAGUGGGGAAUUUUGGACAAUGGGCGAAAGCCUGAUCCAGCCAUUCCGCGUGAGUGAAGAAGGCCUUCGGGUUGUAAAGCUCUUUCGGCAGGGAAGAAACGGCUUGGGAUAAUACCCCGGGCUAAUGACGGUACCUGAAGAAGAAGCACCGGCUAACUACGUGCCAGCCGCCGCCGUAA